This 735-nucleotide ribosomal RNA is filed under the name Triticum aestivum (bread wheat). RNAcentral describes it as "partial small subunit ribosomal RNA". The record is from RNAcentral. Lineage: Eukaryota; Viridiplantae; Streptophyta; Magnoliopsida; Poales; Poaceae.
AUGGCGCCCGGCGGGGUUGUGCUCCUCGGCCUCCUUCUCCUGGCGCUGGUGGACGCGCUUGCCGCCGUCCACAUCGACAUCGCGGCGGCCCUGUUCCACUCGCACGACCACCUCGGGGGCAACAAGCACAAGGACAAGCAGUCUUCUUCCUCGCCUUCGUGGCCAGACGGCAAUUACCUUCCGCCGGCGGGCAACAAGGAGAAGAAGGACAAGAAGGAGAAGCCUUCAUGGCCGGACGGUAACGCCGCGGAUUUCUUCGCGGAGGCUGCCAAGAAGGGGCUGCGGUCCUUCACCGGCGGGCGGGGCGGGUACAAGACGAUGACGACGGAGUUCCUGGACGCGCAUAACCAGGUGCGGGCCAAGUACGGCGUGCCGCCGCUGCGGUGGAGCAAGAAGCUGGCGCGGUACGCGCGGCGGUGGUCGGACGCGCGGCGGUUCGACUGCGUGAUGAUGCACUCGGUGGGUUCCCCCUACGGCGAGAACGUCUUCUGGGGCACCGGGUGGGACUGGAAGGCCGUGGAGGCCGUGGGCGACUGGGCCAGCGAGUCCUCCUUCUACGACUGGCGGGCGCAGGCCUGCCACCCGGGCCAGGUCUGCGAGCACUUCACCCAGAUCGUCUGGCGGACCACAAAGUACGUCGGCUGCGGCCGGGCCGAGUGCCUCGCCGGCGGCGUCUUCAUCACCUGCUCCUACGACCCGCCCGGGAACUGGAAGGGAGAGGUGCCGCUCACCUAA